UCAUCUUCGACCUCCAUUGGUGACGUCGAAGCCAGUGUGCGAAGGAGAAGACUCUGUGACUGUGGGGUUCAAGCUCCAUUGGUGACGUCGUGGUCAGAUGACAACCCGGGAAGGCGAUUCUUUGGCUGUGGAAUGUAUAAGUGACGGGAAAAACUGCUGCAACUAUUUUGUUUGGUAUGAUGGUGAAGGUAACGCAAGGGACAUGAAGAUUAUUGCUGGGUUGCUUGGAAGAAUUGAAGACAUGAAGAGGAAGGAUAAAUCCUUUGUUAGGAUUGCUGUAACUGUUUGGGUCAUUAGUGUGGUGUUAGCCUUUGUUCUUGGCAUGCUAUAUAUGAAGUAUUAGUCUAGAAAGUGUGUUUACUUGUCAUGUAAUGCACCAUUUUGAUGAAAUGUAAUGCACAAUGGGUUAUGUAACUCAAAUUCAAUGAAAUGCACAAGGUUGUUCGUGGCA
This is a long non-coding RNA of Lotus japonicus, 451 nucleotides long. RefSeq lists it as uncharacterized. The transcript has 2 exons. Lineage: Eukaryota; Viridiplantae; Streptophyta; Magnoliopsida; Fabales; Fabaceae. The record is from RefSeq and is a predicted model, not a curated record.